Molecule: transfer RNA, 72 nt
Filed under: Marmota monax (woodchuck)
Lineage: Eukaryota; Metazoa; Chordata; Mammalia; Rodentia; Sciuridae
Description: tRNA.Ala
Source: RNAcentral
GGGGUUGUGGCUCAGUGGUACAGCUCUCACCUAGCAUGUGUGAGGCACUGGGUUUGAUCCUCAGCAUCACAU